UACGGAGGGUGCAAGCGUUAAUCGGAAUUACUGGGCGUAAAGGGUACGUAGGCGGUUAUUUAAGUUGGAUGUGAAAGCCCCGGGCUCAACCUGGGAACUGCAUCCAAAACUGGGUAACUAGAGUGUAUGAGAGGUUGGCGGAAUUCCAGGUGUAGCAGUGAAAUGCGUAGAUAUCUGGAGGAACAUCAGUGGCGAAGGCGGCCAACUGGCAUAACACUGACGCUGAGGUACGAAAGCGUGGGGAACGAACGGGAUUAGAUACCCCGGUAGUCCACGCCCUAAACGAUGAGAACUAGCUGUUGGUUGCGUAAAUGCAGUCAGUAGCGAAGCUAACGCGUUAAGUUCUCCGCCUGGGGAGUACGACCGCAAGGUUGAAACUCAAAGGAAUUGACGGGGGCCCGCACAAGCGGUGGAGCAUGUGGUUUAAUUCGAUGCAACGCGAAGAACCUUACCAUCCCUUGACAUCCUCAGAAUUUGUCGUAAUGACUUAGUGCCUUCGGGAACUGAGAGACAGGUGCUGCACGGCUGUCGUCAGCUCGUGUCGUGAGAUGUUGGGUUAAGUCCCGCAACGAGCGCAACCCCUAUCUUUAGUUGCCAGCACGUAAUGGUGGGAACUCUAGAGAGACUGCCGGUGAUAAGCCGGAGGAAGGUGGGGACGACGUCAAGUCAUCAUGGCCCUUACGGGAUGGGCUACACACGUGCUACAAUGGUGCAUACAGAGGGUUGCCAACCCGCGAGGGGGAGCUAAUCCCAGAAAGUGCAUCUUAGUCCGGAUCGCAGUCUGCAACUCGACUGCGUGAAGUUGGAAUCGCUAGUAAUCGCGAAUCAGCAACGNCGC
RNAcentral lists this ribosomal RNA (838 nucleotides) under uncultured bacterium. Its description in RNAcentral is "bacterial SSU rRNA". It matches the Rfam family "Bacterial small subunit ribosomal RNA", at positions 524 to 1360 of the family's 1533-position model. The record is from RNAcentral.